AAAAAUUUUAUAGACUGCAUGGCAGGCCGUAUUUUUUCUCUACUUCGAGCCCUGAAUAGAUCUGACAUUACAGUUUCUGAGAAAGUGCGGAUUGACACAACUACAUCAAAAAUACAAGCAGAAUGUAUUUUUCAGAUUGUACCCCUAUCGACAGUAUAUCAAUAGUAAUAUUCCUAUCGAUAGUAUCUCUAUCCCUACUAGUUAAAUAUCGCUAAUAAUUAAUCAGGAAAAUUAUCUGAAUCGCCUUAGCUGAAAAGAUGCCGGCAUAUCAAUUUUGGAUCGGUUAUCAUAGCAGAAAAUGUUUUUAAGAUGCAUAUCCUGUUAGAAAAUUGACUCCCUGUGAAACACCGAUACAUGAUAUACCUUAAUAAAAUUGAUCAUUUGAAGGAACAUUACCUAUACUUACUUUAAAGUGCGACUAACCCCCCAAAUAUAAUGGUAUGUGUAAUAUUUGGGUCAUUCUAUAAGAAGAAAUGUAAUGUAUCUUUAUCGUAAAAAACCUCAUCUUGAUCAACUUUUUCACCGUCAAAGUUCCAGAUAUGAUGUCAUUUAGUGAAUUUUUGGUACAAAAAACAAAGGUAAACUAAUUUUCAAUUCACCUUAUGACAUCAUAUCCGGAAACUUUGACAGUGACAAUUUUUAUCAAGAUGGGAUUUUUUAUUGUAAAUAUAUAUAUUACAUUUCGUCUUCGAAUGACCCAAAUAUUACACAUACCAAAAAUCAUAUUAGUGGCUAGUCGCACUUUAAACAUAUUUUACAUUUGUUUUCGUAUUAAGGAAUCUAGAGAAUGCAGUUCUGGCAAAUUAUUAAUACCUUCCAUUGCUUUGCUCGUUCUCCUACAAGUCUGGUUGCUGAUGCUGCAAAAGGAAUAGAAUUGCUCGUUUCUCACGGAGAGUCGGAUUAAUUUGCAUAUUUAAAUAGAAGUUUCAUUAUGUUAUUCAAUAUUGUACAGUUUUAGUAUUUAAUUAGAUAUAAAGUGUAUAUUGAUAUACGGAUACUGUUUCGCCGCAUACCGGAUGGUCCCGGAUAUUAGUCUACCACAUAGACCGGUCAGAGGAAAAUGAUAACUGGAUACUAAUGGUGAUACUUGUGGCAAUACUUAUAGUCCAUCGUCGUAGUAUGUGCUUUAUCUCGUAUAUGAUAAGCCAUGCCUUGUCAGAUGUUGGGACCCUAGGUAGCGGCGCUACCUGCAAGUGCCUGAAGCUAACUGUAAUCCUUUGUCAGAAGGUCUUAUGCAUGAUUAAGUAAAGUUGAAAAUUUCAAUUUUUCCGAAUACAUUUUGCAAUAUUUAUCGACCAGAUUUCAUAAGAGUCGUACUCAAGAUGUAAAUUCAUCAAAUGAUGCCAUCAAGAACUUUUCUGUUCUGUGGCCGAAUUUUAUUCAUUAGCCGACGAUCUUGUCGACUUGAUCAUAUGAAAAUUUUCCAGCAAUUGGGUUUCGGCAAAUUAGCGGACACUCAAUUUUGACAAUCAGGAAACAUAACUAAAAAAAAACGGUCCCCUGUCGCAUUUGCAAGCUUCAAGUGAAGCCGGGCAAGUUUGGACCACGCAGGGCUACCUGUAAAAAAACUAAAUAUACAGGCAUGUAAUAUAUAUAGCGGGAAAUCUGCAGCAGAAAGCAGUUUACAUCUCGAAAACGUAUUCCGCUUGACCAGUAUUGUCCCUUUUUCGCAUUUUUAACGCACAAAAAAUGACAAAGGAACACUUUUUCGGUUUCAUAGUUCUACUAAAGUUACUGUACCAUGCAAUACUAUCCGGUAAAUAUCUGGCGAAAUGUUAUCGGUACAUCCUUAAUAUAACUAUAUAUAAGGCUUGGCGGCACGUUAAUAAUUGGGUAUUGCUGUAAUUCAAAAUCCAAUAUACAAGCAUGCAUGCAAAAAUCAACAUGUAACACGUUGUUUAGCGAAACACGUUGUUUAGCGUUUAAGAGAUUUGAUUUACCACAGGAGACCCAGGUGCGGGCAAAUAGAGCCCGGGUGUCCACGGGGCUGACACCACCUGAAGCUUUUUUUGACGUUAUUUAGUUUAUCAUUUGAUUGUAGUUUUAUUGCGCACUGAACACAAGAUCAACGGACCGCGCGUAAGAAGGGCUCUGCCGCGUACGCGAAUGAAGAUGGUUGUCAAAAUGAACAGAUUUAUAAGGCCAAAUAAUAUAUAACAAAUAGAAAAGAGACUUAAUAAUUAUCGUAUAUUGUAUAGAUCAAGUAAUUUUUACGAAAUAUUUCUGGAAUAGUAAGAAAAUCCAGAUACUAAUAAUAUAUUCAAAACUAUUUAAUGCUUAAUUAAGAUUUUUAUUGCAGUUUAUUAAAUAUUUAUACCGUA
Molecule: non-coding RNA, 2321 nt
Organism: Paramuricea clavata
Lineage: Eukaryota; Metazoa; Cnidaria; Anthozoa; Malacalcyonacea; Plexauridae
Source: the annotation of a GenBank genome assembly